CCUCUGGUGCCUCAACCUCUGCUGGCUUUGGGGCCGCCUUGGGAGCCUCUUUCUUGGCCUCCUUUGGUUUAGCAGGAGCAGCCUUCUUCUGAACAGGAGGUACAACCUCUGCCUGCUUGAAAUCGCCAAUGACCUUCUUGAAGUUAGGCUGGUUAACCAUGGUCCAGAAGUACCUCUCAACAUGAGGGAACUCAGAUGUGAAAGUCUUGGUCAAGAUCCGAGCAAAACCAUGGUAGAGGUUGCAUGUAAUGACAAUAUCAGCCAGAGUGACAGAAUGCCCAACAAGGAAUGUGUUUGAUGCCAGGUGUGUGUUCAAUGCUUC
This 322-nucleotide long non-coding RNA is filed under the name Triticum aestivum (bread wheat). RNAcentral describes it as "long non-coding RNA (TAES_LNC015001)". Lineage: Eukaryota; Viridiplantae; Streptophyta; Magnoliopsida; Poales; Poaceae. The record is from RNAcentral.